CCUACGGGUGGCAGCAGUCGAGAAUUAUUCACAAUGGGGGAAACCCUGAUGGUGCGACGCCGCGUGGGGGAAUGAAGGUCUUCGGAUUGUAAACCCCUGUCAUGUGGGAGCAAAUUAAAAAGAUAGUACCACAAGAGGAAGAGACGGCUAACUCUGUGCCAGCAGCCGCGGUAAUACAGAGGUCUCAAGCGUUGUUCGGAAUCACUGGGCGUAAAGCGUGCGUAGGCUGUUUCGUAAGUCGUGUGUGAAAGGCGCGGGCUCAACCCGCGGACGGCACAUGAUACUGCGAGACUAGAGUAAGGGAGGGGGAACCGGAAGUCUCGGUGUAGCAGUGAAAUGCGUAGAUAUCGAGAGGAACACUCGUGGCGAAGGCGGGUUCCUGGACAUUAACUGACGCUGAGGCACGAAGGCCAGGGGAGCGAAAGGGAUUAGAUACCCUGGUAGUC
Molecule: ribosomal RNA, 446 nt
Filed under: uncultured bacterium
Lineage: Bacteria
Description: partial 16S ribosomal RNA
Rfam family: Bacterial small subunit ribosomal RNA
Source: RNAcentral